Molecule: non-coding RNA, 546 nt
Organism: Lactuca sativa (garden lettuce)
Lineage: Eukaryota; Viridiplantae; Streptophyta; Magnoliopsida; Asterales; Asteraceae
Source: RefSeq, a predicted model, not a curated record
AGAGGGGAGAAGAAAUGGAGGGCCCGAGAUGACACGUGCGCAACCGUAUCUAUUCCCAGUAGAGCAUACACGUGGGAAGGUGUGGGUCUCCUUCCUUCUACACGCGUGCAUGGAAGCUUCAUUAAUAUUUAGACAGCAGCAUGCAAAUGUUAAAAAAACAAACACGCUUCUUAUUACAGUCUGCAGCCGUUUGGUCCACCUCUUCUACUGCAGAGGAUUGCAGAGGUGGUCCGCAGACUUUAUGGAUUUUUGCUUCGAAAAAACAAACAGCAUCUAAAAGUUCAAAGGCAAAGCUUUGGUCAAAUUGUAUAACAGUUUAGCAUAAUAUCGACUCAGCAAGGCAUUUGGCUUGGUACUGCUGAUUUGAACUUGGAAAUGAGACACACUUUGGAAGGACAAAUAUACUUUUGAUAUAUUUUGCAUGAAUGAUCUUUUCUUAUGUCACAUAUAUAUGGGGUAUAUAUAAAAGCCUAACCAAAACAAUAGUGUCCGAUAUAGAUAUAUGCUCAAUAAAAUUCAUACUAAUAAAUAAAAAUCUUUUUGUCA